This 253-nucleotide ribosomal RNA is filed under the name uncultured bacterium. RNAcentral's name for it is "partial 16S ribosomal RNA". It matches the Rfam family "Bacterial small subunit ribosomal RNA", at positions 524 to 776 of the family's 1533-position model. The record is from RNAcentral.
UACGUAGGGUCCGAGCGUUAAUCGGAAUUACUGGGCGUAAAGCGUGCGCAGGCGGUUUUGUAAGUCAGAUGUGAAAGCCCCGGGCUUAACCUGGGAAUGGCAUUUGGGACUGCAAGGCUGGAGUACGGCAGAGGGAGGUGGAAUUCCAGGUGUAGCAGUGAAAUGCGUAGAUAUCUGGAGGAACACCGAUGGCGAAGGCAGCCUCCUGGGCUAGUACUGACGCUCAUGCACGAAAGCGUGGGGAGCAAACAGG